CUGCAGUCAAGAGCAACCUCGGCAGCUUCACUACCUACAAACCCAGGUUUGUGCUUGGACGUCAGAUAAAACCUCCACAGAAAUCUGGGACCUGAUCCUCAAAGGAACCUUGCUGUCCAAAUACAGUUGCAAGCAUGAUGACAAUGGAGUGUAGCUAACCUAAUGCAGAAGGAGAGAAGAUUAGGGGAAGAGAAAAGAAAGCUGAAACCUCUAUAAUGAAAUUUUAAAAUCACAGAGCUCCUGCUGUUAAUAUUUUCCCAGCCUCCAAAAGCAUCAAAUAUUGUUUUAUCCCACAACUAAUCUCAACCGUGUAUCUAUCUCACAAUAUUUGGACACGUUAACUGGGAGCUGAGUCCUAAGAUAACAGCCAUGGCAGCCAAGUGUGGUGGCCUCAUCACCAGACCCUACAUAGUUAAUUGGUCACUUUGUCCAGCUGAGCAAUGGGGUUCCAGUCCAUCCCCAUCAUUAAAAGCUGCCAAAGUCUGUACCACUUUGAAUCAGCUGCCUUCCUCCUGUUCCGUGUGGCUUUUAAGCACCUGCACACCCAGCAUUCUUGCCUCCGACGGAAAGCUUCUGGUUCUUUGAUGAGGGCUUUGGAUAAUUUAAUCAACUUUCCUUCGUCCUCUCCAUAAGAAAGAAGUGCUCAGCUCACUUUGGGGGAAGAGCCACAGAGCAGCACACACUCCUUCCUGUUCUUAAUAAGCCUCCCAAAUGCGUCAGCUAGACAGGGUGUUUAUCUCAAUUAAUGCAUUAAUAGCUUCACCAAAUUGCCAGGAAAAUCUGACACAGACUCGCGUGAGCAGGAUUCCAGUUAAGAAAGAAGCUGGCAGAGCAGCCGCUGAUGUGAAAUCUGAACCAUCUUUUGAACAGCGGACUAUUAGUUUUGUUUUAUUUGGUUCAUUUGAGUUUUUUUGUUGAUUACACACACUCACAGGCCCAUGCAUACAGCCAUUGUGGCAAAAAAGACUUGAAAGAUUGUUGGAACUGAGGGAAGGUAAGAGCAGCGGAAAAAUAAGACAGAGAGACCAAGGUCAGGCUCCACUGGCAGGGGAGGCUGGCCACCUGGUCCAGCCCUGUCCCACCCCUCAGUGACAGCAGCACCUGGCAGGGGCAGCUGCGGGCGUCCGACCAUGUACCACGGAGGGGUAAAGACAGCGCUCUGGCCAGAGGGG
RNAcentral lists this long non-coding RNA (1172 nucleotides) under Homo sapiens (human). RNAcentral's name for it is "HSALNT0169950". The record is from RNAcentral. Lineage: Eukaryota; Metazoa; Chordata; Mammalia; Primates; Hominidae.